This 468-nucleotide ribosomal RNA is filed under the name uncultured bacterium. RNAcentral's name for it is "partial 16S ribosomal RNA". It matches the Rfam family "Bacterial small subunit ribosomal RNA", at positions 28 to 507 of the family's 1533-position model. The record is from RNAcentral.
GACGAACGCUGGCGGCGUGCUUAACACAUGCCAGUCGAACGGAAAGGCCCUGCUUUUGUGGGGUGCUCGAGUGGCGAACGGGUGAGUAACACGUGAGUAACCUGCCCUUGACUUUGGGAUAACUUCAGGAAACUGGGGCUACUACCGGAUAGGAGCUCCUGCUGCAUGGUGGGGGUUGGAACGUUUCGGCGGGUGGGGAUGGACUCGCGGCUUAUCAGCUUGUUGGUUGAGUAGUGGCUUACCAAGGCUUUGGCGGGUAGCCGGCCUGAGAGGGUGACCGGCCACAUUGGGACUGAGAUACGGACCAGACUGCUACGGGAGGCAGCAGUGGGGAAUAUUGCACAAUGGGCGGAAGCCUGAUGCAGCAACGCCGCGUGCGGGAUGACGGCCUUCGGGUUGGAAACCGCUGUAGCCUGUGACGAAGCGUGAGUGACGGUAAUGGGUAAAGAAGCACCGGCUAACUACGUG